GCCAUUUUGUGCGUCCCUCAGGGGGGCGAUGGGUUCCCUGAUGGAAGGGGGGGGGGGGUGUGUUUGUGCCGCCCCGUUCCCCCUUCCCUGCGGGGGCUGCUCCGUGAUGAGCCCGUUCACAGACCUGAGCUGACCGCGGGGUGAAGGCUCGUGUAUCUCUGAGGGAGCCGCGCUCCCCGGGAGGGGUGGGGUGGGGGGGGGACAGCGGGACCAGCGCCGCUCCCUCCUUAACGCCGCUUCAUCCGCAGGCUCAGCCCCCGCCAUGGAGCCGCUGUCGCCGGGGGGCGGGGGGUGACGCAACCCCGAGAGUGACCCCCACGAUGGCCAGUGGGGCUGAAUGUGAGGCCGCCGGCCCCCGAUGAGGAAACCCCUCCGCGUCUGACCCCCCCCCGGCCACCAGGACCUGCCCAAGCCCGGCCCUGGACACCCCAUGGGAGCAGGUGGCACGAGCCGAGGGCGGGGCCGGAGAUGUGCCCCCGCUCGGAUGGAUCCCGCGGCCUCGUGUCACAAGUUCAAUGAAAUCGAUAUUUUUGUUCAAUAAAAUGGAUAUUUUUGAUACAAAA
This 563-nucleotide long non-coding RNA is filed under the name Strigops habroptila (Kakapo). RNAcentral's name for it is "lncRNA (ENSSHBG00005019361.1)". The record is from RNAcentral. Lineage: Eukaryota; Metazoa; Chordata; Aves; Psittaciformes; Psittacidae.